AGAGUUUGAUCAUGGCUCAGGACGAACGCUGGCGGCGUGCUUAACACAUGCAAGUCGAACGGAAAGGCCCUUCGGGGUACUCGAGUGGCGAACGGGUGAGUAACACGUGGGUGAUCUGCCCUGCACUCUGGGAUAAGCCUGGGAAACUGGGUCUAAUACCGGAUAGGACCGCAUGCUUCAUGGUGUGUGGUGCAAAGCUUUUGCGGUGUGGGAUGAGCCCGCGGCCUAUCAGCUUGUUGGUGGGGUAAUGGCCUACCAAGGCGACGACGGGUAGCCGGCCUGAGAGGGUGACCGGCCACACUGGGACUGAGAUACGGCCCAGACUCCUACGGGAGGCAGCAGUGGGGAAUAUUGCACAAUGGGCGCAAGCCUGAUGCAGCGACGCCGCGUGAGGGAUGACGGCCUUCGGGUUGUAAACCUCUUUCACCAGGGACGAAGCGCAAGUGACGGUACCUGGAGAAGAAGCACCGGCCAACUACGUGCCAGCAGCCGCGGUAAUACGUAGGGUGCGAGCGUUGUCCGGAAUUACUGGGCGUAAAGAGCUCGUAGGUGGUUUGUCGCGUUGUUCGUGAAAACUCACAGCUUAACUGUGGGCGUGCGGGCGAUACGGGCAGACUAGAGUACUGCAGGGGAGACUGGAAUUCCUGGUGUAGCGGUGGAAUGCGCAGAUAUCAGGAGGAACACCGGUGGCGAAGGCGGGUCUCUGGGCAGUAACUGACGCUGAGGAGCGAAAGCGUGGGUAGCGAACAGGAUUAGAUACCCCGGUAGUCCAA
Molecule: ribosomal RNA, 773 nt
Filed under: uncultured bacterium
Lineage: Bacteria
Description: bacterial SSU rRNA
Rfam family: Bacterial small subunit ribosomal RNA
Source: RNAcentral